CCAAGGAGUUUAACAUGUACGCGAGUCAUUGAGUUUCCUGUAUCUCAAAGGCGUAAUGAAAUGUAAAGGCCGACUUGUUCGUGCUGUGACGUGAUCUGCAAUCCUAAGUGGUUGUGGCGCAGCGUCUGCCCGUCCAUGUAGCUUUGUCUACGGGGCGGAGCAUGAGCGUACAUGUUGACACCCGAAAGAUGGUGAACUAUGCCCGGGCAAGACGAAGUCAGAGGAAACUCUGAUGGAGGUCUGAAGCGUUUCUGACGUGCAAAUCGAUCGUCUGACCUGGGUAUAGGGGCGAAAGACUAAUCGAACCAUCUAGUAGCUGGUUCCUUCCGAA
This 331-nucleotide ribosomal RNA is filed under the name Trachytes jenseri. Its description in RNAcentral is "eukaryotic LSU rRNA". It matches the Rfam family "Eukaryotic large subunit ribosomal RNA", at positions 666 to 965 of the family's 3401-position model. The record is from RNAcentral. Lineage: Eukaryota; Metazoa; Arthropoda; Arachnida; Mesostigmata; Trachytidae.